GAUGAAGAACGUAGCGAAAUGCGAUACGUAAUGUGAAUUGCAGAAUUCAGUGAAUCAUCGAAUCUUUGAACGCAUAUUGCGCUCUCUGGUAUUCUGGAGAGCAUGCUUGUUUGAGUAUCAGUAAACACCUCAACUUCCAUAUCUUUUUUGAAAUGGGAGUUGGACUUGAGUGAUCCCAACGCUUUUCCUCACCGAAAAGUGGCGGGUUACUUGAAAUGCAGGUGCAGCUGGACUUUUCUCUGAGCUAUAAGCAUAUCUAUUUAGUCUGCCUAAAAAACAGAUUAUUACCUUUGCUGCAGCUAACAUAAAGGAGAUUAGUUCUUGUGCUGACUGAUGCAGGAUUCACAAAGACAGGCUUCGGCCGACUUUGUAAACUCGAUCUCAAAUCAAGUAAGACUACCCGCUGAACUUAAGCAUAUCAAUAAGCGGAGGA
RNAcentral lists this unclassified non-coding RNA (433 nucleotides) under soil metagenome. Its description in RNAcentral is "partial contains 5.8S ribosomal RNA, internal transcribed spacer 2, and large subunit ribosomal RNA". The stretch from base 1 to 120 matches the Rfam family "5.8S ribosomal RNA", at positions 35 to 154 of the family's 154-position model. The record is from RNAcentral.